AACGCACGAGACCUGCGGACCUGCGGAGGGAUCAUUACCGAGUUUACAACUCCCAAACCCCAUGUGAACAUACCUGUUUCGUUCCCUCGGCGGUGUCCGGCAACGGCCCGCCAGAGGACCCAACAAACUCUUUUGAAUUUUUCAGUAUCUUCUGAGUGAAAAAAACAAUAAAUCAAAACUUUUAGCAAUGGAUCUCU
Molecule: unclassified non-coding RNA, 197 nt
Filed under: soil metagenome
Description: partial contains 5.8S ribosomal RNA, internal transcribed spacer 2, and large subunit ribosomal RNA
Source: RNAcentral